RNAcentral lists this ribosomal RNA (487 nucleotides) under uncultured bacterium. RNAcentral describes it as "partial 16S ribosomal RNA". It matches the Rfam family "Bacterial small subunit ribosomal RNA", at positions 28 to 507 of the family's 1533-position model. The record is from RNAcentral.
GAUGAACGCUAGCGAUAGGCUUAACACAUGCAAGUCGAGGGGCAGCACAAGGUAGCUUGCUAUCUGGGUGGCGACCGGCGCACGGGUGCGUAACGCGUAUGCAACUUGCCCUAUACAGGAGGAUAACCCGUCGAAAGACGGACUAAUACUGCGUAUGCUCACAACUUGGCAUCAAGUGGUGAGGAAAGAAAUUCGGUAUAGGAUAGGCAUGCGUCCCAUUAGCUUGUUGGUGAGGUAACGGCUCACCAAGGCAACGAUGGGUAGGGGAACUGAGAGGUUUAUCCCCCACACUGGUACUGAGACACGGACCAGACUCCUACGGGAGGCAGCAGUGAGGAAUAUUGGUCAAUGGGCGCGAGCCUGGACCAGCCAAGUCGCGUGAAGGAGGACUGUCUUAUGGAUUGUAAACUUCUUUUAUACGGGAAUAACAAGAGUCACGUGUGACUCCCUGCAUGUACCGUAUGAAUAAGCAUCGGCUAACUCCGUG